This 272-nucleotide long non-coding RNA is filed under the name Elaeis guineensis (African oil palm). RNAcentral's name for it is "long non-coding RNA (EGUI_LNC025575)". The record is from RNAcentral. Lineage: Eukaryota; Viridiplantae; Streptophyta; Magnoliopsida; Arecales; Arecaceae.
AAGGAGACUGUUAGGUAGUAGGAGAAUGCAUAUCAGGCUCAAUGACAAGUGAAGGAGACUGUUGGAUAGUAGGAGAAUGCAUAUCAGACUCAGUGACAAGUGGAGAAGACUGCUGCUCUCCCUGUCGAUUACUAUUUGAUUGCUCAUGCUCUCCAUACUCUGAGCCAUACUCUUGGUCAGACUCUCUCUCACGAUUGGUGUAAUCAGAUGAAACACGAGGAGAGAAGAGAAAGUCGGAUAGAAUAUUAGGUUGAUUGGUGGACAUAUCCAUG